This 826-nucleotide long non-coding RNA is filed under the name Dasypus novemcinctus (nine-banded armadillo). Its description in RNAcentral is "lncRNA (ENSDNOG00000052059.1)". The record is from RNAcentral. Lineage: Eukaryota; Metazoa; Chordata; Mammalia; Cingulata; Dasypodidae.
GCUCUGUUUUGGUAAGGGUAUGGGUGUAUCCUGGCUGAAGCAGUUACCCACAGGAAAUCGGGAGCAGGGCGGGAGGGCGGCCGGAAGCGCGCGAGGGGACGCCUCCCUUUACAGCGCCGACCCCUGAGAAGCCCGGCGGGGGUCGGGGGUUUUGCUGAAGCGGCACGAAGAGCUGUUCUUCCAGGCUGACCAGUCCAGACUGUGGAAGACGACGCCCUGACAGGGUGUGGUGCUCUUGGGUGGGGGUGGGGUGCAGCAAGGGGAAGUGUUUGGAAAGGGAGCGGUCACUGCCGCCGUCGUUCUUUCUGGAGGGACGAGGGAGAGCGGAAAGAGCGACCGCAGGAUUCUGACCCGAGUCAAGGGUUGUGGGCGCCCAGGACUCCGUGGAGCGAAGAGGCGCUACACAGGAACAGCUUUCCCAGGGCCCCGGCACCACUGAGGCCACCAAGAGGCUAACGGUCUUUUUCCAGAGAGGGACGUGGUCCUGGAGCUCCAGCAGGUAAUGGACAGGACCCGGAAGAGUGGGAAGCGGGAAAGUCUGGAUGUGAGUAACUUCCCCACCCCCAUGUGUUCUACACUAGAUCUGAGCCAAAAGGCUGGGAAGUGAUCCACCCCCAUAUUCAGGCUUCAGAAGUGACCCCUGUCCCCACCUUGAACCUCUGGAAACAGGAGAUGGCCAUAAUCCCUGCUGGGGAGGAAGAUGCCACAGCCAUUCAAAGGGACCCGCUCAGGGCCUCAGGAUGCAGGCAAGGCUACAGAAAGCAAGAGUGACUGUCAGGCGCAGGGCUCCCGUCCUGCCACCCUUCUUCACUCCUGCCUCCCCCCU